AAUAAAGUGACUGACAAUAAGUGGAAAACUGUAAAUUUUCUUAUGAGACGAAAUCUCCUUUAUUA
RNAcentral lists this transfer RNA (65 nucleotides) under Colpocephalum griffoneae. RNAcentral's name for it is "tRNA-Tyr". The record is from RNAcentral. Lineage: Eukaryota; Metazoa; Arthropoda; Insecta; Psocodea; Menoponidae.